This 253-nucleotide ribosomal RNA is filed under the name uncultured bacterium. Its description in RNAcentral is "partial 16S ribosomal RNA". It matches the Rfam family "Bacterial small subunit ribosomal RNA", at positions 524 to 776 of the family's 1533-position model. The record is from RNAcentral.
UACGUAGGGGGCUAGCGUUGUCCGGAUUUAUUGGGCGUAAAAAGCGUGUAGGCGGCCAGGUAGGUCUGCUGUGAAAACUCGAGGCUCAACCUCGAGACGUCGGCGGAAACCAUCUGGCUAGAGUCCGGAAGAGGAGAGUGGAAUUCCUGGUGUAGCGGUGAAAUGCGCAGAUAUCAGGAAGAACACCCGUGGCGAAGGCGGCUCUCUGGGACGGUACUGACGCUGAGACGCGAAAGCGUGGGGAGCGAACAGG